This 468-nucleotide ribosomal RNA is filed under the name uncultured bacterium. Its description in RNAcentral is "partial 16S ribosomal RNA". It matches the Rfam family "Bacterial small subunit ribosomal RNA", at positions 28 to 507 of the family's 1533-position model. The record is from RNAcentral.
GACGAACGCUGGCGGCGUGCUUAACACAUGCAAGUCGAACGGAAAGGCCCUGCUUUUGUGGGGUGCUCGAGUGGCGAACGGGUGAGUAACACGUGAGUAACCUGCCCUUGACUUUGGGAUAACUUCAGGAAACUGGGGCUAAUACCGGAUAGGAGCUCCUGCUGCAUGGUGGGGGUUGGAAAGUUUCGGCGGUUGGGGAUGGACUCGCGGCUUAUCAGCUUGUUGGUGGGGUAGUGGCUUACCAAGGGUUUGACGGGUAGCCGGCCUGAGAGGGUGACCGGCCACAUUGGUACUGAGAUACGGCCCAGUCUCCUACGGGAGGCAGCAGUGGGGAAUAUUGCACAAUGGGCGGAAGCCUGAUGCAGCAACGCCGCGUGCGGGAUGACGGCCUUCGGGUUGUAAACCGCUGUCGCCUGUGACGAAGCGUGAGUGACGGUAAUGGGUAAAGAAGCACCGGCUAACUACGUG